RNAcentral lists this ribosomal RNA (272 nucleotides) under uncultured bacterium. RNAcentral describes it as "partial 16S ribosomal RNA". It matches the Rfam family "Bacterial small subunit ribosomal RNA", at positions 793 to 1055 of the family's 1533-position model. The record is from RNAcentral.
GUCCUAGCUGUAAACGAUGGGCACUGGGCAGGGGGGAUACCUAUGUCUUCUCUGCCGGAGCUAAUGUGUUAAGUGCCCCGCCUGGGGAGUACGCUCGCAAGGGUAAAACUCAAAUAAAUUGACGGGGGCUCACACAAGCGGUGGAGCAUGUGGUUCAAUUCGAAGCAACGCGAAGAACCUUACCUGGCCUUUACAUGCACGGAUUAGUCCCGUGAAAGCGGGAUGACAGCUCUUCGGAGUCGGAACGUGCACAGGUGUUGCAUGGCUGUCGU